AAACCAUGAUGUGGACAAAGACUCACAAGUUCUUUAAAUCGUUCCCAUGUUUGAUACAAUGUUUCACUUUCUUUUUAAGCAAAAUUUGAGAUUCUUUUCGUCAAAGC
Prunus persica (peach) is the source of this 107-nucleotide small nucleolar RNA. It matches the Rfam family "Plant small nucleolar RNA R71". Rfam says of the family: R71 is a member of the C/D box family of snoRNAs containing the C (UGAUGA) and D (CUGA) box motifs. Multiple nearly identical copies of this snoRNA have been identified in Arabidopsis, and it is thought to function as a 2'-O-ribose methylation guide for 18S ribosomal RNA. The record is from Rfam. Lineage: Eukaryota; Viridiplantae; Streptophyta; Magnoliopsida; Rosales; Rosaceae.